CCAGCUCAGGUCCCAGGGUGCUGUCCUGUAACAAUCCCCAACUCAGAUCCCAGGGUGCUGUCCUGUAACAAUCCCCAGCUCAGGUCCCAGGGGUGCUGUCCUGUAACAAUCCCCAACUCAGGUCCCAGGGUGCUGUCCUGUAACAAUCCCCAGCUCAGGUCCCAGGGUGCUGUCCUGUAACAAUCCCCAGCUCAGGUCCCAGGGUGCUGUCCUGUAACAAUCCCCAACUCAGGUCCCAGGGUGCUGUCCUGUAACAAUCCCCAGCUCAGGUCCCAGGGGUGCUGUCCUGUAACAAUCCCCAACCCACGCUGGGUGCCAGCUGUAAGAAUCCAUGUCUGGCUGGGCUGUCCAUGUCCAAUCCAGCAGCUAUGGACCUCAGCCCACACAAUCUUACAGGGACAAAGGCAAAAGACCAGAAGUGCUCUCCACGUGGAGACUAACAUCCUACAUUUAUUUCCAAGGUGGGAAAGAGGCCAGGCCAGCUGCCUCUAGGGGGUUUUAAGAGCUUGGAAAGGGGUCUGGAGGAGAGGGACUGCAGCCAGUGGGAUACCAGUGAGGAGGGUAAGAUGAGGGACUGACCAGGGCAGAGACCCCCACCAGGGGUACUGGGGAGAGGAGUGUGUGAGGGAAAACCAUGUGAUAAGAGAUGGGAAGAACAAACCACGUGACAUAACAUAAACUGUUAAGUGCACUAUAAAAACUACUCUGCAAAUCUCCAAUCACCCAGUGCAACACAACACAAAAUGAACUAUUCAGUGCAACACAACACAAAAUGAACUAUUUAGUGACCACAGCCAAGGGGAUACCAGUGAGGAGGGUGAGGGGAUGGACUGACCAGGGCAGAGACCCCCACCAGGGGUACUGGGGAGAGGAGUGUGUGAGGGAAAACCACGUGAUAAGAGAUGGGAAGAACAAACCAUGUGAUAUAACAGAUUAUUCAGUGCAAUAUAAAAACUACUCAGUGCAAAUCUCCAAUCACCCAGUGCAAAACAAGAAUAAUAAUAAAAAAAUAAACUAUUCAGUGCAACACAACACUAAAUAAACUAUUCAGUGCAGUACAGCACUGUCCCUGCAG
Molecule: long non-coding RNA, 1075 nt
Organism: Serinus canaria (Common canary)
Lineage: Eukaryota; Metazoa; Chordata; Aves; Passeriformes; Fringillidae
Exons: 3
Source: RefSeq, a predicted model, not a curated record